CAGAAGUGCGAAUGCUGACAUGAGUAACGAUAAAGGGGGUGAAAAACCUCCUCGCCGGAAGACCAAGGGUUCCUGUCCAACGUUAAUCGGGGCAGGGUAAGUCGACCCCUAAGGCGAGGCCGAAAGGCGUAGUCGAUGGGAAACGGGUUAAUAUUCCCGUACUUCUUACAAUUGCGAUGGGGGGACGGAGAAGGCUAGGUGGGCCUGGCGACGGUUGUCCAGGUUCAAGUGCGUAGGCUUAAGAGUUAGGUAAAUCCGGCUCUUUUUAAGGCUGAGACACGACGUCGAGCUACUACGGUAGUGA
This 304-nucleotide ribosomal RNA is filed under the name Vibrio parahaemolyticus. Its description in RNAcentral is "partial 23S ribosomal RNA". It matches the Rfam family "Bacterial large subunit ribosomal RNA", at positions 1283 to 1588 of the family's 2925-position model. The record is from RNAcentral. Lineage: Bacteria; Pseudomonadati; Pseudomonadota; Gammaproteobacteria; Vibrionales; Vibrionaceae.